Long non-coding RNA from Macrobrachium nipponense, 456 nucleotides. RefSeq lists it as uncharacterized. The transcript is spliced from 3 exons. The record is from RefSeq and is a predicted model, not a curated record. NCBI's taxonomy places the organism in Eukaryota, Metazoa, Arthropoda, Malacostraca, Decapoda, Palaemonidae.
AUUUACAGGUGGAUCCUGGUAUUAUAGUGAAGAUGAGCUAUCAUUUGUGGUUCAGAUAAUUUGGAUACAAGGAGCAGUGGUUGCUUAUAAUCAGGAAAAAAGUGAGGUGACCUUGCAAGAUAAUGGAUAUAAUGUAACAGUGACAAACUGUCAUAUUAUUCCUGGAGGAAAUGCAUGGAUUGAUCAAGGUAAAUACGUGAUGGCUGUAGGUGAACUCGACAACAAUAGCACAGUAGUAAAAAUUAGAGCAAUUAAAAUAGCUGACCUUUCUGAUAAUUCUGUGCAUCAGCAAACCUGGAAUGAUGAAGUUACUGAAUUGAAAGCCUUGAUGAGAGAAAAUAAACCUCUUUGUAGAUGAAGGAACUGUUUAUGACUUCAUGUUUAUACUUUCUACAUUGUAAUUGGAUAAUAUUGUGUUAAUUUUCUACUUCUUAUUAUAGUUAUAUACGUAAUUUC